RNAcentral lists this long non-coding RNA (1203 nucleotides) under Mus musculus (house mouse). RNAcentral's name for it is "predicted gene 11691 (Gm11691)". The record is from RNAcentral. Lineage: Eukaryota; Metazoa; Chordata; Mammalia; Rodentia; Muridae.
AUAAAUUGACUUCCUGUGCCUGACCUGCAGGUGGCGGCCAUUCUGUUUCCUGGCCAUGGCUUCACUAAUUUAGGCCUGCUGGGCUCACGGGAAGCCCUUCAAAAAAACGACUCCUUUCAGAUUAACAUGUAAAAUUUAAUUACGGAGGUCCAGGCUGAGAUGAUGUCUAAAGCCAUUUACUAAGCCCGGCGGCCUCCCCGUCCUGGGGCUAAGGAGGCCGAAGCAGAGCUUUGAUCAUUAACCGCUGAGAAAAUCUCAGCUUGCAUAUUAAGAGAAGUGGCAGCGCUUUUAACCCCUUUGGGAUGAGGACAGCGGAGAUGGAGACAGCCAAACGGAUGUAGAACCUCCUAUGAACUUCAAGAGAACAUUUCCGGGAGGAGCAGGUUGUGGCUUCCUAGGAGACCUUGGGCCUGGCUUUGCCUAUAAUCACAUUUCCCCUCCCGGGAAGGAGGGCUGGGGGGGGGGGGCGGCAGGGAGGAGGGGCUUAAACUCUACGGGCACAAACUUCUGGGACUUCUACCACCUUUGAAGCCUGUUGUAAGGCUGUCUUUCCACACAGGGCCCAGCUCUGGUUUUAAUGAUCAGAAGGCCUGAAAGGGCUGUCUUCUCACCCGGAUGGGCCCUUGGCAGACUCCUGGCCUGCCUUCCACAGCUCUCUGUCCUAUCAGGUGGGGAAGGCAGUUCUGAUGGCCAGUUUUUCCUGUGCCCUGGGUUGGGGGCAGCAGGGUGGGGAGAGGUAUCAGGUAUUUGCUCCCAGUUGGUUAGAAAACAUAUAAGAAGAUGCCUGUUUUAGCACUAUCAGGUGGCCCGCAACUGCCCCACUGCCAUUUUAGGAUUGCCAAGAUAGCUUUUAUAAGCAGAGAAAGCUACAUUUGACUCUUUCAGGGAGUCUGGGCACUGCACUACUCCUCGCCAGACCUCUGGUGUACUAAAGAUCUAAACAUUUUCUCUUUUAGAAGCUUCAAGCCUUCUUUCCCUGUGUUAGAAUUUAAUUAAGCCCAGGACUACCUGGUCUGUAAGGAAUUACCUCUGCUGCCGCCCCAGGGGUCCUCAAUUUUAGUUCCAGGACCCAUGGAAUGAAUACUGACAACACCCCCACUCCCACCCCAAACCAGCUGGCUACCUUGUUUGGGGGUUGAGAGACAGCGCAAACGGAAAUAUACCCAGCCUCCUAAAAGGGUGAUUAAACAUUUAAAAUAUCAA